ACCUUAAAAGAGUGCGUAAUAGCUCACUAGUCAAGCGAUCCUGCGCCGAAAAUGAACGGGGCUAAGUGAUGUACCGAAGCUGUGGGAUUGAUUUAAUUAUCAAUCGGUAGGGGAGCGUUCCGUAAUAGGUAGAAGCAGUAGCGGCGAGCAGCUGUGGACGAAACGGAAGUGAGAAUGUCGGCUUGAGUAGCGCAAACAUUGGUGAGAAUCCAAUGCCCCGAAACCCUAAGGGUUCCUCCGCCAGGUUCGUCCACGGAGGGUUAGUCGGGUCCUAAGGCGAGGUCGAAGGGCGUAGUCGAUGGACACAGGGUGAAUAAUCCCUGACUAUGAUGUGGGAGCAUUGCGAGGGACGCAUGAAAGAUAGCCAUACCCUGAUUGGUUUGGGAGGAGUUUACGAACUCCGUUUGGUGAAGGAUAGUGUCAAGAAAAGCUCGUAAUGUGAUGAAGACAUCAUACCCGUACCCGAAACCGACACAGGUAGGGAGGUUGAGAAUACCAAGGGGCGCGAGAUAACUCUCUCUAAGGAACUCGGCAAAAUGGCCCCGUAACUUCGGGAGAAGGGGUGCCCACCUAAGACGUGGGUCGCAGUGAAGAGAUCCAGGCGACUGUUUACCAAAAACACAGGUCUCCGCCAACUCGAAAGAGGACGUAUGGGGGCUGACGCCU
RNAcentral lists this ribosomal RNA (666 nucleotides) under Nodularia spumigena CENA596. RNAcentral describes it as "bacterial LSU rRNA". It matches the Rfam family "Bacterial large subunit ribosomal RNA", at positions 1119 to 1860 of the family's 2925-position model. The record is from RNAcentral. Lineage: Bacteria; Bacillati; Cyanobacteriota; Cyanophyceae; Nostocales; Nodulariaceae.